GAUCAGAACCAUGCCGACGGUUUCCCCUGCGGGGGGAUUAAAAGGGAACGGGGUGCGGAUCGCGAUCCAAGGCCCCGGCUGUCCCCGCAACUGUAAGCGGUAUGUCCCUGCAUUACCGGAUGUGAUGGUCCGGGCCACUGGAAACUGCGGUUUUCCGGGAAGGUUGUGCGGGAUGCCACGCCGUGAGCCAGGAGACCUGCCGCCAUGAUGGUUGCGAC
RNAcentral lists this non-coding RNA (218 nucleotides) under Komagataeibacter xylinus. Lineage: Bacteria; Pseudomonadati; Pseudomonadota; Alphaproteobacteria; Acetobacterales; Acetobacteraceae. The record is from RNAcentral.